This 65-nucleotide transfer RNA is filed under the name Xylosandrus morigerus. RNAcentral's name for it is "tRNA-His". It matches the Rfam family "tRNA". From Rfam's summary of the family: Transfer RNA (tRNA) molecules are approximately 80 nucleotides in length. The record is from RNAcentral. Lineage: Eukaryota; Metazoa; Arthropoda; Insecta; Coleoptera; Curculionidae.
ACUUAAUUAGUUUAAUUAAAAGCAUUAGUUUGUGGAACUGAAGAUAUAUAGUAUUAUAUUAGGUA